CUGGAGGAUACAUGAUGGUAUAGUGAAAAGAUUCGGGGAGGUUCGAUACAUACCUGAUUUCAGACGGAAUCUUAUCUCAUAGAGCAGACUGAAUUCGAGAUGCUAUAGGACAGUAGCUAAUGGAGAAAUCUUGAAGGUGUUGCAUGGCGAUAGGAUUAUUCUGGAGGAGAAGAAGAGGACGAGAGAACAUUACUACUUAGCAAGGAGCC
RNAcentral lists this long non-coding RNA (209 nucleotides) under Elaeis guineensis (African oil palm). RNAcentral's name for it is "long non-coding RNA (EGUI_LNC015579)". Lineage: Eukaryota; Viridiplantae; Streptophyta; Magnoliopsida; Arecales; Arecaceae. The record is from RNAcentral.